GUUGAUGAAUUCAUAACGAAGUACUUCGCUUUGGAAAGUUUCUCGACAUACAUACAUAUAAAUCUUUGAAAUAUUGUCAACUUGAACUAUAUCUAACAUCAUUGGUGGUCAUGAUCCUUGAACAAGUCAUGCAAUAUACAUUGUAGUUUUAUUUCCUAAUCAUAUCAUUCAACAAAGCAUUGAAUGGGGAAAGCAUACUUAUAUAGACUGUGAAAACACACUUGUGACCGGUUUCAAAAUGGUUUAAAGGAGGAUCGACGAGAAAACACUAGUCUUAGAGUUCCACGUUUUUGAGAAUUUGUUAACAUAUAUUGACAUAUGAAUUAAACUGAACCUGUUAACUUACACAAUAUUCAUGUCAAAGCAAUAACGUCUAAAUCAUUUGCAAAUUUUUCGCCAUCCCCAUUGCCUUCUUUCUUCUUCACAAAUUUUGUUGUUUUCUAGAGAAUGUUCGAAUAAAGAACAUUUUGUAAGAAUGAAAAACAAUAAUCCAUCUUGCUUGAAUUCUAAGUGCAAAAAACAUACAAAAAUUGAAGGUGUAAGGAUUCCGAAAAAAUAUUUGUCGGUAAGUGUAACAUUAAAUAAGAUGUGUUUUCAUAACAUAUGUGGACAUAUGUUCACAGUUGGUGAGGUAAUUUGUCUGGUUAAUUCCGAUAACGAACGAGACAUUAACCUGCUUAAUAUUUGACUGUUCCUCUGUGCACGUUUAUGGCCUGACUUCUAUUGCUUUUUUGUGGAGUAGUGUGACGUUGAUCCGGCGGAUGCGAUACCAGCUUCUACUACUCAGAGGGACAAGUAGCACACGAAAUUGAACAAUAACAGAUCUCUGAUACUCUCGGAUAUCCGGGGCCACACGUGCGCUACAACGACGGUGCUGGAAAGGAGCGAAACCCGGUACGAAAGGGUGUGAAAACUGUUUCAUCACCGUCAUGACCGGGUUCAAGGCUUGCAAUUAUUCCCCCUGAACGAGGAAUUUCUGGCAUGUGCAAUUCAUGAGCUUGGACUAACUACGUCUCUGCCCUUUGUACACACCUCACCUCGCUAAUAACGAUUGAAUGGUUUAUUGAGGUCUUUGGAUUGGUGUCGUUGUAGUGGCUUAACCACCAGAUUGAGAUGACGUAACUUGACUAUUUAGAGGACGUCAAAGUUGUUAAAACGUUUCCGUAGGCGAAGCUGCAUAAGGAUCAUUA
This 1190-nucleotide non-coding RNA is filed under the name Schistosoma margrebowiei. Its description in RNAcentral is "Eukaryotic small subunit ribosomal RNA". The stretch from base 462 to 1190 matches the Rfam family "Eukaryotic small subunit ribosomal RNA". The record is from Rfam by way of RNAcentral. Lineage: Eukaryota; Metazoa; Platyhelminthes; Trematoda; Strigeidida; Schistosomatidae.